ACACGAGUGGCGAACGGGUGAGUAACACGUGAGUAACCUGCCCCUGACUCUGGGAUAACAGUUGGAAACAGCUGCUAAUACUGGAUAUGAAUCUGCCGCGCAUGUGGUGGGUUGGAAAGAUUUUUUGGUCAGGGAUGGGCUCGCGGCCUAUCAGCUUGUUGGUGGGGUGAUGGCCUACCAAGGCGUCGACGGGUAGCCGGCCUGAGAGGGCGACCGGCCACACUGGGACUGAGAUACGGCCCAGACUCCUACGGGAGGCAGCAGUGGGGAAUAUUGCGCAAUGGGCGGAAGCCUGACGCAGCAACGCCGCGUGCGGGAUGACGGCCUUCGGGUUGUAAACCGCUUUCAGCAGGGACGAAGCUUUUGUGACGGUACCUGCAGAAGAAGCACCGGCCAACUACGUGCCAGCAGCCGCGGUGAUACGUAGGGUGCGAGCGUUGUCCGGAAUUAUUGGGCGUAAAGAGCUCGUAGGCGGUUGAUUGCGUCGGAAGUGAAAUCUCAGGGCUUAACUCUGAGUCUGCUUCCGAUACGGGUUGACUAGAGGAAGUUAGGGGAGAACGGAAUUCCUGGUGGAGCGGUGGAAUGCGCAGAUAUCAGGAGGAACACCGAUGGCGAAGGCAGUUCUCUGGGACUUUCCUGACGCUGAGGAGCGAAAGCGUGGGGAGCAAACAGGCUUAGAUACCCUGGUAGUCCACGCCGUAAACGGUGGGUACUAGGUGUGGGGGACAUUCCACGUUCUCCGUGCCGUAGCUAACGCAUUAAGUACCCCGCCUGGGGAGUACGGCCGCAAGGCUAAAACUCAAAGGAAUUGACGGGGCCCCGCACAAGCGGCGGAGCAUGCGGAUUAAUUCGAUGCAACGCGAAGAACCUUACCUGGGUUUGACAUAUGCCGGAAACAUCCAGAGAUGGGUGCCCCUUUUUGGUCGGUAUACAGGUGGUGCAUGGCUGUCGUCAGCUCGUGUCGUGAGAUGUUGGGUUAAGUCCCGCAACGAGCGCAACCCUCGUCCAAUGUUGCCAGCGGGUAAUGCCGGGGACUCAUUGGAGACCGCCGGGGUCAACUCGGAGGAAGGUGGGGAUGAGGUCAAGUCAUCAUGCCCCUUAUGUCCAGGGCUUCACGCAUGCUACAAUGGCCGGUACAAAGGGCUGCGAGCCUGUAAGGGUGAGCGAAUCCCAAAAAGCCGGUCUCAGUUCGGAUUGGGGUCUGCAACUCGA
Molecule: ribosomal RNA, 1212 nt
Filed under: Propionibacteriaceae bacterium GS8
Lineage: Bacteria; Bacillati; Actinomycetota; Actinomycetes; Propionibacteriales; Propionibacteriaceae
Description: bacterial SSU rRNA
Rfam family: Bacterial small subunit ribosomal RNA
Source: RNAcentral